This 1491-nucleotide ribosomal RNA is filed under the name metagenome. RNAcentral describes it as "bacterial SSU rRNA". It matches the Rfam family "Bacterial small subunit ribosomal RNA". The record is from RNAcentral.
AGAGUUUGAUCAUGGCUCAGAUUGAACGCUGGCGGCAUGCCUUACACAUGCAAGUCGAACGGCAGCACGGGUGCUUGCACCUGGUGGCGAGUGGCGAACGGGUGAGUAAUAUAUCGGAACGUACCCUAGAGUGGGGGAUAACGUAGCGAAAGUUACGCUAAUACCGCAUACGAUCUACGGAUGAAAGUGGGGGAUCGCAAGACCUCAUGCUCAUGGAGCGGCCGAUAUCUGAUUAGCUAGUUGGUGGGGUAAAAGCCUACCAAGGCGACGAUCAGUAGCUGGUCUGAGAGGACGACCAGCCACACUGGAGCUGAGACACGGUCCAGACUCCUACGGGAGGCAGCAGUGGGGAAUUUUGGACAAUGGGGGCAACCCUGAUCCAGCAAUGCCGCGUGAGUGAAGAAGGCCUUCGGGUUGUAAAGCUCUUUUGUCAGGGAAGAAACGGGAUUUUCUAAUACAAAGUCCUAAUGACGGUACCUGAAGAAUAAGCACCGGCUAACUACGUGCCAGCAGCCGCGGUAAUACGUAGGGUGCAAGCGUUAAUCGGAAUUACUGGGCGUAAAGCGUGCGCAGGCGGUUGUGCAAGACAGAUGUGAAAUCCCCGGGCUCAACCUGGGAAUUGCAUUUGUGACUGCACGGCUAGAGUGUGUCAGAGGGGGGUAGAAUUCCACGUGUAGCAGUGAAAUGCGUAGAGAUGUGGAGGAAUACCGAUGGCGAAGGCAGCCCCCUGGGAUAACACUGACGCUCAUGCACGAAAGCGUGGGGAGCAAACAGGAUUAGAUACCCUGGUAGUCCACGCCCUAAACGAUGUCUACUAGUUGUCGGGUCUUAAUUGACUUGGUAACGCAGCUAACGCGUGAAGUAGACCGCCUGGGGAGUACGGUCGCAAGAUUAAAACUCAAAGGAAUUGACGGGGACCCGCACAAGCGGUGGAUGAUGUGGAUUAAUUCGAUGCAACGCGAAAAACCUUACCUACCCUUGACAUGUACGGAACUUACCAGAGAUGGUUUGGUGCUCGAAAGAGAACCGUAACACAGGUGCUGCAUGGCUGUCGUCAGCUCGUGUCGUGAGAUGUUGGGUUAAGUCCCGCAACGAGCGCAACCCUUGUCAUUAGUUGCUACGAAAGGGCACUCUAAUGAGACUGCCGGUGACAAACCGGAGGAAGGUGGGGAUGACGUCAAGUCCUCAUGGCCCUUAUGGGUAGGGCUUCACACGUCAUACAAUGGUACAUACAGAGGGCCGCCAACCCGCGAGGGGGAGCUAAUCCCAGAAAGUGUAUCGUAGUCCGGAUUGUAGUCUGCAACUCGACUACAUGAAGUUGGAAUCGCUAGUAAUCGCGGAUCAGCAUGUCGCGGUGAAUACGUUCCCGGGUCUUGUACACACCGCCCGUCACACCAUGGGAGCGGGUUUCACCAGAAGUAGGUAGCCUAACCGCAAGGAGGGCGCUUACCACGGUGGGAUUCGUGACUGGGGUGAAGUCGUAACAAGGUA